AUUGAACGCUGGCGGCAGGCUUAACACAUGCAAGUCGAGCGGAAACGAUGAUAGCUUGCUAUCAGGCGUCGAGCGGCGGACGGGUGAGUAAUACUUAGGAAUCUACCUAGUAGUGGGGGAUAGCACGGGGAAACUCGUAUUAAUACCGCAUACGACCUACGGGAGAAAGGGGGCAGUUUACUGCUCUCGCUAUUAGAUGAGCCUAAGUCGGAUUAGCUAGAUGGUGGGGUAAGGGCCUACCAUGGCGACGAUCUGUAGCUGGUCUGAGAGGAUGAUCAGCCACACCGGGACUGAGACAUGGCCCGGACUCCUACGGGAGGCAGCAGUGGGGAAUAUUGGACAAUGGGGGAAACCCUGAUCCAGCCAUGCCGCGUGUGUGAAGAAGGCCUUUUGGUUGUAAAGCACUUUAAGCAGUGAAGAAGACUCCAUGGUUAAUACCCAUGGACGAUGACAUUAGCUGCAGAAUAAGCACCGGCUAACUCUGUGCCAGCAGCCGCGGUAAUACAGAGGGUGCAAGCGUUAAUCGGAAUUACUGGGCGUAAAGGGAGCGUAGGUGGCUCUAUAAGUCAGAUGUGAAAUCCCCGGGCUUAACCUGGGAACUGUAUCUGAAACUGUAGAGCUAGAGUAUGUGAGAGGAAGGUAGAAUUCCAGGUGUAGCGGUGAAAUGCGUAGAGAUCUGGAGGAAUACCGAUGGCGAAGGCAGCCUUCUGGCAUAAUACUGACACUGAGGCUCGAAAGCGUGGGUAGCAAACAGG
This 755-nucleotide ribosomal RNA is filed under the name uncultured bacterium. RNAcentral describes it as "bacterial SSU rRNA". It matches the Rfam family "Bacterial small subunit ribosomal RNA", at positions 28 to 776 of the family's 1533-position model. The record is from RNAcentral.